GAUUUUUCCAGAUCUGAGCCUCAUUUUCAGGAGGAAGCCGGCGGCCGAGAUUUGGAGAAGCGACGCCUCAUCUGGAUCUGGGCGGUUCGCCAGCCCAGGAGGAAGGCGGCAACCGAGAUUUGGAGAAGAAGGGGUGAGCGGCGGCGGAGAGAGGCAAUCUCGUUUUUUUUUCUUUUUUUUAAAUUUUUCUUUUUUUUUAAUUGUUAAAAGCUUUACAAAAUGACGUCGUUUUGUAUGAUCGCCGGUAUGUCCACGUCUGCGAAUUCCGGGAGACACGUCAUCUAAGAUUUAGGGGAUGGUCAACGCAUAUGCAAAUCACAACAAAAUUAAAAGGUGGUGUAUUCUGAGACCAU
Molecule: long non-coding RNA, 353 nt
Filed under: Salvia miltiorrhiza (redroot sage)
Lineage: Eukaryota; Viridiplantae; Streptophyta; Magnoliopsida; Lamiales; Lamiaceae
Description: long non-coding RNA (SMIL_LNC013353)
Source: RNAcentral